CCUACGGGAGGCUGCAGUGGGGAAUAUUGGACAAUGGGGGGAACCCUGAUCCAGCCAUGCCGCGUGUGUGAAGAAGGCCCUCGGGUUGUAAAGCACUUUCAGUGAGGAAGAACGCCUGGUGGUUAAUACCCAUCAGGAAAGACAUCACUCACAGAAGAAGCAUCGGCUAACUCCGUGCCAGCAGCCGCGGUAAUACGGAGGGUGCGAGCGUUAAUCGGAAUUACUGGGCGUAAAGCGCGCGUAGGUGGCUUGAUAAGCCGGUUGUGAAAGCCCCGGGCUCAACCUGGGAACGGCAUCCGGAACUGUCAAGCUAGAGUGCAGGAGAGGAAGGUAGAAUUCCCGGUGUAGCGGUGAAAUGCGUAGAGAUCGGGAGGAAUACCAGUGGCGAAGGCGGCCUUCUGGACUGACACUGACACUGAGGUGCGAAAGCGUGGGUAGCAAACAGGAUUAGAUACCCUUGUAGUC
RNAcentral lists this ribosomal RNA (465 nucleotides) under Vreelandella stevensii. RNAcentral describes it as "partial 16S ribosomal RNA". It matches the Rfam family "Bacterial small subunit ribosomal RNA", at positions 338 to 795 of the family's 1533-position model. The record is from RNAcentral. Lineage: Bacteria; Pseudomonadati; Pseudomonadota; Gammaproteobacteria; Oceanospirillales; Halomonadaceae.